Molecule: ribosomal RNA, 355 nt
Filed under: uncultured organism
Description: bacterial LSU rRNA
Rfam family: Bacterial large subunit ribosomal RNA
Source: RNAcentral
CUUUACUACAACUCUAUAGUGCUAGUAUAAAUGACAUGUGUAGCAUAUGUGGGAGUUUAAAAGAUUUAGAUGCUAGUCUAAAUUCUAAACCAAAAUGAAAUACCACACUUGAAUUUUGUAAUAGCUAACGAUAAUAUCGGACCCUGUAAAGUGGGUAGUUUGACUGGGGCGGUCUCCUCCCAAAGAGUAACGGAGGAGUGCGAAGGUAAGCUCAAGCUGGUCGGAAAUCAGCUGUUGAGUGUAAUGGCAUAAGCUUGCUUGACUGUAAGACAAACAAGUCGAACAGAGACGAAAGUCGGUCAUAGUGAUCCGGUGACCCUGUGUGGAAAGGUCAUCGCUCAACGGAUAAAAGGUA